Molecule: ribosomal RNA, 2199 nt
Filed under: Escherichia coli
Lineage: Bacteria; Pseudomonadati; Pseudomonadota; Gammaproteobacteria; Enterobacterales; Enterobacteriaceae
Description: bacterial LSU rRNA
Rfam family: Bacterial large subunit ribosomal RNA
Source: RNAcentral
AAUGGGUCAGCGACUUAUAUUCUGUAGCAAGGUUAACCGAAUAGGGGAGCCGAAGGGAAACCGAGUCUUAACUGGGCGUUAAGUUGCAGGGUAUAGACCCGAAACCCGGUGAUCUAGCCAUGGGCAGGUUGAAGGUUGGGUAACACUAACUGGAGGACCGAACCGACUAAUGUUGAAAAAUUAGCGGAUGACUUGUGGCUGGGGGUGAAAGGCCAAUCAAACCGGGAGAUAGCUGGUUCUCCCCGAAAGCUAUUUAGGUAGCGCCUCGUGAAUUCAUCUCCGGGGGUAGAGCACUGUUUCGGCAAGGGGGUCAUCCCGACUUACCAACCCGAUGCAAACUGCGAAUACCGGAGAAUGUUAUCACGGGAGACACACGGCGGGUGCUAACGUCCGUCGUGAAGAGGGAAACAACCCAGACCGCCAGCUAAGGUCCCAAAGUCAUGGUUAAGUGGGAAACGAUGUGGGAAGGCCCAGACAGCCAGGAUGUUGGCUUAGAAGCAGCCAUCAUUUAAAGAAAGCGUAAUAGCUCACUGGUCGAGUCGGCCUGCGCGGAAGAUGUAACGGGGCUAAACCAUGCACCGAAGCUGCGGCAGCGACGCUUAUGCGUUGUUGGGUAGGGGAGCGUUCUGUAAGCCUGUGAAGGUGUGCUGUGAGGCAUGCUGGAGGUAUCAGAAGUGCGAAUGCUGACAUAAGUAACGAUAAAGCGGGUGAAAAGCCCGCUCGCCGGAAGACCAAGGGUUCCUGUCCAACGUUAAUCGGGGCAGGGUGAGUCGACCCCUAAGGCGAGGCCGAAAGGCGUAGUCGAUGGGAAACAGGUUAAUAUUCCUGUACUUGGUGUUACUGCGAAGGGGGGACGGAGAAGGCUAUGUUGGCCGGGCGACGGUUGUCCCGGUUUAAGCGUGUAGGCUGGUUUUCCAGGCAAAUCCGGAAAAUCAAGGCUGAGGCGUGAUGACGAGGCACUACGGUGCUGAAGCAACAAAUGCCCUGCUUCCAGGAAAAGCCUCUAAGCAUCAGGUAACAUCAAAUCGUACCCCAAACCGACACAGGUGGUCAGGUAGAGAAUACCAAGGCGCUUGAGAGAACUCGGGUGAAGGAACUAGGCAAAAUGGUGCCGUAACUUCGGGAGAAGGCACGCUGAUAUGUAGGUGAAGUCCCUUGCGGAUGGAGCUGAAAUCAGUCGAAGAUACCAGCUGGCUGCAACUGUUUAUUAAAAACACAGCACUGUGCAAACACGAAAGUGGACGUAUACGGUGUGACGCCUGCCCGGUGCCGGAAGGUUAAUUGAUGGGGUCAGCGCAAGCGAAGCUCUUGAUCGAAGCCCCGGUAAACGGCGGCCGUAACUAUAACGGUCCUAAGGUAGCGAAAUUCCUUGUCGGGUAAGUUCCGACCUGCACGAAUGGCGUAAUGAUGGCCAGGCUGUCUCCACCCGAGACUCAGUGAAAUUGAACUCGCUGUGAAGAUGCAGUGUACCCGCGGCAAGACGGAAAGACCCCGUGAACCUUUACUAUAGCUUGACACUGAACAUUGAGCCUUGAUGUGUAGGAUAGGUGGGAGGCUUUGAAGUGUGGACGCCAGUCUGCAUGGAGCCGACCUUGAAAUACCACCCUUUAAUGUUUGAUGUUCUAACGUGGACCCGUGAUCCGGGUUGCGGACAGUGUCUGGUGGGUAGUUUGACUGGGGCGGUCUCCUCCUAAAGAGUAACGGAGGAGCACGAAGGUUGGCUAAUCCUGGUCGGACAUCAGGAGGUUAGUGCAAUGGCAUAAGCCAGCUUGACUGCGAGCGUGACGGCGCGAGCAGGUGCGAAAGCAGGUCAUAGUGAUCCGGUGGUUCUGAAUGGAAGGGCCAUCGCUCAACGGAUAAAAGGUACUCCGGGGAUAACAGGCUGAUACCGCCCAAGAGUUCAUAUCGACGGCGGUGUUUGGCACCUCGAUGUCGGCUCAUCACAUCCUGGGGCUGAAGUAGGUCCCAAGGGUAUGGCUGUUCGCCAUUUAAAGUGGUACGCGAGCUGGGUUUAGAACGUCGUGAGACAGUUCGGUCCCUAUCUGCCGUGGGCGCUGGAGAACUGAGGGGGGCUGCUCCUAGUACGAGAGGACCGGAGUGGACGCAUCACUGGUGUUCGGGUUGUCAUGCCAAUGGCACUGCCCGGUAGCUAAAUGCGGAAGAGAUAAGUGCUGAAAGCAUCUAAGCACGAAACUUGCC